ACAUGGCCCAAUUCUGUGAAGUGACUGUCGGCCCAUUACAUGUGGAAGAGCCACGAGCAGAGCAACUGUUCAGUUUGAAACCAGCAGGACGGCGCGAAACUGUCUCGUUUUGGACACUGCCUGUGAAUCCAGGCCACACUGACCAGAGACCUGCCUGCACUCCUUUGGAUGAAGAAGGCUACCCGUGUAUACAUGUGUGAACCAUUUCUUGUGUUGGAAAAACAGGAGACCUGAAGAGCUCUUGAUGCUUUUGGUUUGCCUCAUCCAUUAUGUCAGCAAAGAACAGGAGUGGGCAGGAAACAUGCGCUGUUGAAAACAUGGCCAACCAACUGGAGC
This is a long non-coding RNA of Alosa alosa (allis shad), 336 nucleotides long. RefSeq lists it as uncharacterized. Lineage: Eukaryota; Metazoa; Chordata; Actinopteri; Clupeiformes; Clupeidae. The record is from RefSeq and is a predicted model, not a curated record. The transcript is spliced from 3 exons.